This 286-nucleotide unclassified non-coding RNA is filed under the name uncultured fungus. RNAcentral's name for it is "partial contains 5.8S ribosomal RNA, internal transcribed spacer 2, and large subunit ribosomal RNA". The record is from RNAcentral. Lineage: Eukaryota; Fungi.
AACGCACCUUGCGCUCCUUGGUAUUCCUUGGAGCAUGCCUGUUUGAGUGUCUUGAAUAUCUCCUCUCAUCCAUUUUUUUAAUUAAAGAUGUGGUCGAGAGGGUGCUUGGGCUUGCAUGGUAUUACUCCUUAUGCUUGCCUUAAAUGCAUUAGCUGGAUUUCAGUAGAGUUGUUAAGUAACAUUGAAAACUCUUGUGAUCGAAAUCUGCUUCUAAUCCAUCUUGAGCAAUCGAGAUAUAUAUUUCAACUUUGGCCUCAAAUCAGGUAGGACUACCCGCUGAACUUAA